GAUGAACGCUAGCUACAGGCUUAACACAUGCAAGUCGAGGGGAAACGACAUCGAAAGCUUGCUUUUGAUGGGCGUCGACCGGCGCACGGGUGAGUAACGCGUAUCCAACCUGCCCAUCACUUGGGAAUAACCUUGCGAAAGUAUGACUAAUACCCAAUGAUAUCCCACGAAGGCAUCGGAAUGGGAUUAAAGAUUUAUCGGUGAUGGAUGGGGAUGCGUCUGAUUAGCUUGUUGGCGGGGUAACGGCCCACCAAGGCAACGAUCAGUAGGGGUUCUGAGAGGAAGGUCCCCCACAUUGGAACGGAGACACGGUCCAAACUCCUACGGGAGGCAGCAGUGAGGAAUAUUGGUCAAUGGGCGAGAGCCUGAACCAGCCAAGUAGCGUGCAGGAAGACGGCCCUAUGGGUUGUAAACUGCUUUUAUAAGGGAAUAAAGUGGGUCACGUGUGACUUUUUGCAUGUACCUUAUGAAUAAGGACCGGCUAAUUCCGUG
Molecule: ribosomal RNA, 492 nt
Filed under: uncultured bacterium
Lineage: Bacteria
Description: partial 16S ribosomal RNA
Rfam family: Bacterial small subunit ribosomal RNA
Source: RNAcentral